This is an RNA transcript of Jatropha curcas, 2280 nucleotides long. It is a transcript of the gene named phosphoglycolate phosphatase, with no coding region annotated. The record is from RefSeq and is a predicted model, not a curated record. NCBI's taxonomy places the organism in Eukaryota, Viridiplantae, Streptophyta, Magnoliopsida, Malpighiales, Euphorbiaceae.
CAGGUACGCUCAAAUCCAAUCCAAAUCCCUAUUCGACUCCAUUUACAGCCACUUCUUUUAUCAAAAACCUAACACUAACUUUACUCACUUUUAGCUUCUUUGAUUUAUCUUUACAAUUCUGAAUUGCCUUCCUUUAACGACAUUGAUUUGAUGGCUGAAGUGUUCGAUAGACAGGCAAUGUGUUGAGUGGCAGGCAGGAAGUUAUUGUUUAGCAAUGGCAGAAUAUAUAGCUUCCACUCCAUGUGUCAAGCUGCAUUUAUGGACAAGCUGUGUCAAAGAGAAGGGCUAUUUAAUCCGGAAUUCACAUUUUAAGACGCCACAGAGAAAGUAUCCUCGUGGAAGUUGGAAAGUUCUCUGCCUCCAUUCUCGGAAAACAUAUAGAUCUGGACUCUCAAAUUUUAAAUCAAGUCCUUUUAUCAGGGAAUCUGCCUUGAGGUGUAGUUGCUUGGGAUCCUUGGUGGACCCUGAUGGUCUUACAGCUUCUGAUUUGGUUUCUGUUAGUGAUCAGUUGCUGCUGAUAACCAGCAUAGCCCUAACAUAUAUGGCUGGAGUACUUCCUCUUAAGAGGCCCAAUUUUACUUCAUGGAGAAUCUCAUAUGACAAUGUGGUUGGUGAAACUGCAACAUCUUCUGGUAGUGCCAAAAAUAAUGAUGACUGUGUUAAUAUAAAAUGUGCCUGGGAUGCAGUAAAGGAGAAACUUUUAUAUGCUCUCAAUGCUGUAGAACACAAGAGCAAUCUCGGAAACAGACUCCUUGAACUUGAUCAAGAGAAUGCAAAGAGGCCCUUAAGUUUGUAUGCUGUAUCUGAGGGGCCCAAGUUGCGAUUGCUUUGGACUUCUUUUAAACAUCUCGAGGAUGAGGUGAAUAAUGUUUUAGGUGAUUGCGAGGCUUUUACUUUGGAUGAUUGGUUGACUAUUUUCCCUGAAACUAUUCAAAAGGCUUUUGACUGCAUAUGCAUGGCUUGGCUAGGGGAAGAACUUUGCCUUGAAAACAAGAAACUCGAUGAGGCACUUUUCUCGUUGAUGAUUCAGAAAUUAAAGGGAGAUGAAGUUGUUUUACAGACCAUAAGAAAGUCAGGCAAGGAAGAUCUUUAUGCAGAAUUAUUAUACUUUCUUAGAUUUGGGUUUCUCAGGAAGAGUUGUUGUUAUGACCAGAGCUUGUUUUCUUUGCAUGGAGAUUCCAUAUUAGAAGAUUUGGUAAUAACUUUAGCAGAUGGCGUUGCCAAUGUUUAUUUGGAGCUUAUUUCUGUUGAUGGUAAUUUGUCAAAUGAAAUGAACAACCUGGGAAUGACUAUGUGUAAUUUGUCAACCCGAGCAAUCCAAAGAUUGCGCAAUGAGGUGGCUUUGAAUCAAUGGUUGUAUCAAAAUAUGGAGGCAGUUGUAUCAAUGUAUGAGGAUCGAUUUGAUCUGUGCACUCUACAGUCCAAAAUCAUUGAGGAACCAAACCUGAGUCAGGCUGAAAAUCGUAGCUGGUGGAAGAAGCUUACUCGAAAAAAAUCUGAAACAAUUCCAGCUUCAUUAUAUUAUGUCAUGAUAAACCAGUUCUCCAUGCCUGUAAAACGGACAAAAGAAUUAAGGGCCUUGACAGGGUGGAGAUACUAUUUCAGUCUGUACCUUGAGUUAUCUGAUAUUACCAUGCCGCUGAUUAGAGCUGUCAUCGACAAAGUUAACAAUGCCAUCUCAUUCUUUCUAGUUUCUUUGAUUGGGAGGUCAUUAGGGCUUAUCUACACUGGAAUUAGGCAGUCUCUGCGAUGGAAGUGAGAUUUCAAGGCUUUCCCUCAUGAAUUAUGCUAUCCUUUGGUGAUUAUCCUGUGAUGAGGUAUUAUUCCUAGCCUCAAAUGUAGACAAGGAGAAAUUUGACAUAAGAAAAGUGGAGAAAAGUCAUAUUUGAAAGGCUGAAGUGAUGAAGCAUCACUAUCCAAACCAAAGAAAGAUGAACAAAGGGUUCAAACUACAAUGUUUUAAUUAGGAUUGCACAUUUUUUUCACCAUAAAAAUGAAGCAUUUUACCUUUUUACAUGCUAUCAUUAGAAAAUCAUCAUCCAAUAUGUGAGAUAUUAUUAUUAUCAUUGUGUGUGCUUGUGUUUUAGUGUUGGUGGACCAUACUGUCCUUGUCCACUUCCAUUCUUUAUUUCAUUUUUGGCUGAUGAAAGGAUACUUACAUUGGAUGUAUUUUUCUUUUUUCUUUUUUUUUUGUAUUUUUCUAUUUUAAAAAAUUUAACUCACAGCCCACAGACAGAUUAAGGGCAGUAAAGUAUGCAUGCAACAUAUAUUUCUCCAUAA